AUACGUAGGGGGCGAGCGUUGUCCGGAAUGAUUGGGCGUAAAGAACGCGUAGGCGGCGCGGUAAGUCUGGAGUGAAAGUCCUGCUUUCAAGGUGGGAAUUGCUUUGGAUACUGCCGCGCUUGAGUGCAGGAGAGGUUAUCGGAAUUCCCGGUGUAGCGGUGAAAUGCGUAGAGAUCGGGAGGAACACCAGUGGCGAAGGCGGGUAACUGGACUGCAACUGACGCUGAGGCGCGAAAGUGUGGGGAGCAAACAGGAUUAGAUACCCUGGUAGUCCACACUGUAAACGAUGAAUGCUAGGUGUAAGAGGUAUCGACCCCUUUUGUGCCGGAGUCAACACAAUAAGCAUUCCGCCUGGGGAGUACGGCCGCAAGGUUGAAACUCAAAGGAAUUGACGGGG
This 397-nucleotide ribosomal RNA is filed under the name uncultured bacterium. Its description in RNAcentral is "partial 16S ribosomal RNA". It matches the Rfam family "Bacterial small subunit ribosomal RNA", at positions 523 to 918 of the family's 1533-position model. The record is from RNAcentral.